AUUGAACGCUGGCGGCAUGCUUUACACAUGCAAGUCGAACGGUAACAGGUCUUCGGAUGCUGACGAGUGGCGAACGGGUGAGUAACGCAUCGGAACGUGCCCAGUCGUGGGGGAUAACGCAGCGAAAGCUGUGCUAAUACCGCAUACGAUCUAUGGAUGAAAGCGGGGGAUCGCAAGACCUCGCGCGAUUGGAGCGGCCGAUGUCAGAUUAGCUAGUUGGUGGGGUAAAGGCCCACCAAGGCGACGAUCUGUAGCUGGUCUGAGAGGACGACCAGCCACACUGGGACUGAGACACGGCCCAGACUCCUACGGGAGGCAGCAGUGGGGAAUUUUGGACAAUGGGCGAAAGCCUGAUCCAGCCAUGCCGCGUGUGUGAAGAAGGUCUUCGGAUUGUAAAGCACUUUAAGUUGGGAGGAAGGGCAGUAACCUAAUACGUUAUUGUUUUGACGUUACCGACAGAAUAAGCACCGGCUAACUUCGUGCCAGCAG
RNAcentral lists this ribosomal RNA (489 nucleotides) under uncultured bacterium. RNAcentral describes it as "bacterial SSU rRNA". It matches the Rfam family "Bacterial small subunit ribosomal RNA", at positions 30 to 514 of the family's 1533-position model. The record is from RNAcentral.